This 75-nucleotide transfer RNA is filed under the name Cordylochernes scorpioides. RNAcentral describes it as "tRNA-Thr". It matches the Rfam family "tRNA". From Rfam's summary of the family: Transfer RNA (tRNA) molecules are approximately 80 nucleotides in length. Their secondary structure includes four short double-helical elements and three loops (D, anti-codon, and T loops). The record is from RNAcentral. Lineage: Eukaryota; Metazoa; Arthropoda; Arachnida; Pseudoscorpiones; Chernetidae.
GUCCAGGGUAGCCUAGUGGACAUGGCAUCUGCCCGGUAAGCGGAACAUUGUGGGUUCGAUUUCCAUCCCUGUACA